CUGCGGUGGGAAAUAACCCCGGGAAACUGGGGAUAAUGUCCCAUAGGCUACGGAUGCUGGAAUGCUCUGUAGCUCAAAGAUUUAUCGCCACAGGAUGGGUCUGCGGCCGAUUAGGUAGUUGUUGGGGUAACGGCCCAACAAGCCUUUGAUCGGUACGGGUUGUGGGAGCAAGAGCCCGGAGAUGGAUUCUGAGACACGAAUCCAGGCCCUACGGGGCGCAGCAGGCGCGAAAACUUUACAAUGCGGGAAACCGUGAUAAGGGAACUCCGAGUGUCCGUAAAUGCGGACUGUCCGUAUGUCUAAAAAGCAUGCGAAGAAAGGGCCGGGCAAGACCGGUGCCAGCCGCCGCGGUAAUACCGGCGGCUCGAGUGGUGGCCACUAUUAUUGGGCUUAAAGCGUUCGUAGCUGGAUUGUUAAGUCUCUUGGGAAAUCUACCGGCUUAACCGAUAGGCGUCCAAGGGAUACUGGCAAUCUAGGGACCGGGAGAGGUGAGGGGUACUUCAGGGGUAGGAGUGAAAUCCUGUAAUCCUUGGGGGACCACCUGUGGCGAAGGCGCCUCACCAGAACGGCUCCGACAGUGAGGGACGAAAGCUGGGGGAGCAAACCGGAUUAGAUACCCGGGUAGUCCCAGCCGUAAACGAUGCGCGUUAGGUGUAUCGAUGACCACGAGUCAUCGAGGUGCCGAAGGGAAACCGUGAAACGCGCCGCCUGGGAAGUACGGUCGCAAGGCUGAAACUUAAAGGAAUUGGCGGGGGAGCACCACAACAGGUGGAGCCUGCGGUUUAAUCGGACUCAACGCCGGAAAUCUCACCGGAUAAGACAGCUGAAUGAUAGCCGGGCUGAGACUCUGCUUGACUAGCUGAGAGGAGGUGCAUGG
RNAcentral lists this ribosomal RNA (877 nucleotides) under uncultured archaeon. RNAcentral's name for it is "bacterial SSU rRNA". It matches the Rfam family "Archaeal small subunit ribosomal RNA", at positions 114 to 997 of the family's 1478-position model. The record is from RNAcentral.